UCUGUGUUACAGCAUGUCACGUCCUCCUGUCCUAGCCCCAGCUGGGUGCAUUGGCAAUUGAGGCAAGGGCUGAAGUCUCCUGCUCUAAACUUCAGCUGAAAUCCUCCAAUGCACCUGUGAAUUACCUCCCCAAGCCUUAUCCCACCUGGGAGCCAUCUCUCCCGUGAAGGUGUUCAGGGGGUGAACGUGCGUUGUGCUGCUGGCUGGGGAGGAGCUGGGGUCAGUGAGCUCUGGCCUUUUCUCCUGCCUGUCUGCACCUUCCCUCCUCCAUCUACAGGGUCCCCUGAGGUAGAUGGUGCAGCAAAGCUGCGUCUUUAUCAGAAGAUACCAGUAGCAUUCAGCUGCUUUUGAAGUCUCCAAAGAGAGCUGAGAUAUUUCUUGAUCUGCUCUUAAAUAAGUCAUCGAGACUGCUGUUAACUCGCAUUAAGCAGCAGAAGGCAUCUCGGUGCGCGGGGCGAGGCGCGCGCAUCUCGGCGCGCUGGGCUGGGAGUGCGUCUGCGCGGGGCGGCGGGGAGCCCUGCUGCGGGGUGCAGCCUCGGGGAGAGGCUUUGGGGCUUUAAAUAUUUGAUGUGCAAAGUUUAUUUUAGUCUGAGCCAGGCCGGAAUUGCUGCUCCUCCAGAAUGUAAUUGGUUGGAGGCUGUUUUUGUGAGGCAAAGGCAUCGCUGUGCUGCCCAAGCCGCAGACUAGCAAUACAUCAGCGUGGCGGGGUGUUUUGCUGGAGAGUGAAGCGGUGCCCGGUGGCCAGGAGGUAUUCUGUGUUAACAGAAAUGUUGACAGAAUACAGCAGUGAUCACAGUGCUUUUGAAUGAGGCUGCUGGAUGCUCUAGAUCUGCUUACAUCAGACCCCAUCUGCCAUGAUCACAUGCUGGUCCUGACCAACAGUGAGAGCAGAGGCAUGAAGCAAAGAUGUCCAGAUAUUUGCCAAGAUAUCAGCAUUUUUCCGGAAUGCUUCAGGUACAAAAGGACAACAACAACAAAAAAUUACUGCCUUACAGGCAUAAGUACAAGGCCAAAUUCCACCUCUUGUUUAGCUGAGCAGUUGCCAGCACAGCCAGCUGGGGGAAGGAGGACGCCUACCAAGACGGAUGGAAAGGUGAGUGAUGAAGGUCUUGAACAAUGACAUCUAGCUUUGUUUGUAGUAAAUGACCAAAUGCUUUGGCACUCUUCACAUGAAUAUGCCUAACCUUUGCAGUAAAUGUUGUCCCUCUGAUUCUUCUGUAUGGUAAGAUGAAAAUUAACAAGAAAACAUUCACAGAAAUGACAAUUGAACAUGGAUGUACCAAUCACAGGGCUGAUCAAGGAGCUUUCUGAGGCAUGAUGGAAUGAUCAAGGAGCUCUCUGAUGUCAGAGCUGGAACGUGUCCUUUCCCUACCAUUCAUGGGAAAGAAAAAAGCUAUCAUCGUAAUAAUUUUAUCACAUUCUGUGCUCCACUUUAAUCACUAAUUGCCCCUUUAUAGCAACCACUUUUUUUUUUUUUUUUUAAUGAGACCACCUUCAGGCUUGCUCUUGAUUCUGCUGAUGAGCUUUUAAAGGGGGAACUGUAACUGCCUAUUUGCCUUGAGCGGAUGCAUUUAGGUUGGAAGUUAAACUGCGUACUCAGUGGAAAUAUAUCAGCAGGCACUGGUGCCCAGUGGCAGCUAGGAUGUUGUGCAUUAAUGUAUGAAUGUGAAGCAUCUUGUCAAACCUUCAAGAAAAUUCAAGAAACAAUUAAGAGACCUAAAUGCCAAAAAAGUAACAAAGCUAAAGAGCCACUUCCCCAGAGGGAACUCUGAGACCUCUAUACACCAUGCAGAAAGAAUCAACCUCAGCUACUAUUUUUAAUUUCUAAAAGACAUCUCUGAAAGUUGCAUUGGCGGGUCCUACAAGAAAGGAUCUUUAAAAAAAUCUGGUCUCUUAUCUCCCAGUGCUAAUGUCACUUCUGCUAGCUAUGUGUCGCGCUCCUAGCAAGACCUGGAUAGCUUGACCACAUAAAAUAAAG
This 1978-nucleotide long non-coding RNA is filed under the name Anas platyrhynchos platyrhynchos (common mallard). Its description in RNAcentral is "lncRNA (ENSAPLG00000018259.1)". Lineage: Eukaryota; Metazoa; Chordata; Aves; Anseriformes; Anatidae. The record is from RNAcentral.